AGAGUUUGAUUCUGGCUCAGGAUGAACGCUAGCUACAGGCUUAACACAUGCAAGUCGAGGGGCAGCAUUGGAGUAGCAAUACUCAGAUGGCGACCGGCGCACGGGUGAGUAACACGUAUCCAACCUGCCGCUUACUCGGGGAUAGCCUUUCGAAAGAAAGAUUAAUACCCGAUGGUAUAAAGAGUUCGCAUGUUCUCUUUAUUAAAGAAUUUCGGUAAGCGAUGGGGAUGCGUUCCAUUAGAUAGUUGGCGGGGUAACGGCCCACCAAGUCUACGAUGGAUAGGGGUUCUGAGAGGAAGGUCCCCCACAUUGGAACUGAGACACGGUCCAAACUCCUACGGGAGGCAGCAGUGAGGAAUAUUGGUCAAUGGACGAGAGUCUGAACCAGCCAAAAGUAGCGUGAAGGAUGACUGCCCUAUGGGUUGUAAACUUCUUUUAUAAGGGAAUAAAGUGAGGGACGUGUCCCUUUUUGUAUGUACCUUAUGAAUAAGGAUCGGCUAACUCCGUGCCAGCCGCGGC
This 519-nucleotide ribosomal RNA is filed under the name uncultured bacterium. RNAcentral describes it as "bacterial SSU rRNA". It matches the Rfam family "Bacterial small subunit ribosomal RNA", at positions 8 to 518 of the family's 1533-position model. The record is from RNAcentral.